UAUAGUUUGAUCAUGGCUCAGAGUGAACGCUGGCGGUAGGCCUAACACAUGCAAGUCGAACGGCAGCACAGGAGAGCUUGCUCUCUGGGUGGCGAGUGGCGGACGGGUGAGAAAUACAUCGGAAUCUACUUUUUCGUGGGGGAUAACGUAGGGAAACUUACGCUAAUACCGCAUACGACCUACGGGUGAAAGCAGGGGAUCUUCGGACCUUGCGCGAUUGAAUGAGCCGAUGUCGGAUUAGCUAGUUGGCGGGGUAAAGGCCCACCAAGGCGACGAUCCGUAGCUGGUCUUGAGAGGAUGAUCAGCCACACUGGAACUGAGACACGGUCCAGACUCCUACGGGAGUGCAGCAGUGGGGAAUAUUGGACAAUGGGCGCAAGCCUGAUCCAGCCAUACCGCGUGGGUGAAGAAGGCCUUCGGGUUGUAAAGCCCUUUUGUUGGGAAAGAAAUCCAGCUGGCUAAUACCCGGUUGGGAUGACGGUACCCAAAGAAUAAGCACCGGCUAACUUCGUGUCAAGCAGNCCGCNGGUAAUACGAAGGGUGCCACGNCGUUACUUCGGAAUUACUGGGCGGUAAAGCCGU
RNAcentral lists this ribosomal RNA (582 nucleotides) under uncultured bacterium. RNAcentral describes it as "bacterial SSU rRNA". It matches the Rfam family "Bacterial small subunit ribosomal RNA", at positions 1 to 570 of the family's 1533-position model. The record is from RNAcentral.